RNAcentral lists this long non-coding RNA (277 nucleotides) under Lupinus angustifolius (narrow-leaved blue lupine). Its description in RNAcentral is "long non-coding RNA (LANG_LNC002741)". Lineage: Eukaryota; Viridiplantae; Streptophyta; Magnoliopsida; Fabales; Fabaceae. The record is from RNAcentral.
UUUUCUCAAAAUUCGAAUCAUCUACACACUGAUGAAUCAUUGCCAGAGCUUUGCAAUCUCUCUUCAUGCACUCUCUGUGAAGGGAUCUCUGCACUUCAGUAGCUUCAUCUUCCACUGCUUGGAAACCAUCUUGCACAACAUCAAGGACUUCUUGAUAUCCAAAAAGAACCUUCAUCUGCACUUGCCAUCUUUCAUAGUUCUUGCCAUUUAGAGUUGGUAGAACCAUUGUAAAUCCGCUAUUGCUUGCCAUUAGUGAGCUUCCUUCUUCCUUCUUACC